RNAcentral lists this ribosomal RNA (460 nucleotides) under uncultured bacterium. RNAcentral describes it as "partial 16S ribosomal RNA". It matches the Rfam family "Bacterial small subunit ribosomal RNA", at positions 338 to 795 of the family's 1533-position model. The record is from RNAcentral.
ACUACGGGAGGCAGCAGUGAGGAAUAUUGGUCAAUGGACGAGAGUCUGAACCAGCCAAGUAGCAUGAAGGAUGACGGCUCUAUGGGUUGUAAACUUCUUUUAUAUGGGAAUAAAACAGGGUAUGCAUACCCGCUUGCACGUACCAUAUGAAUAAGGAUCGGCUAACUCGGUGCCAGCAGCCGCGGUAAUACGGAGGAUCCGAGCGUUAGCCGGAUUUAUUGGGUUGAAAGGGUGCGUAGGUGGAUAGUUAAGUCAGUUGUGAAAGUUUGCGGCUCAACCGUAGAAUUGCAGUGGAAACUGGCAGUCUUGAGUACAGGAGAGGUAGGCGGAAUUCGUGGUGUAGCGGUGAAAUGCUUAGAUAUCACGAAGAACUCCGAUGGCGAAGGCAGCUUACUGGACUGCAACUGACACUGAUGCUCGAAAGUGUGGGUAUCAAACAGGAUUAGAUACCCGAGUAGUC